AGUGAACGCUGGCGGUAGGCCUAACACAUGCAAGUCGAACGGCAGCACAGUAAGAGCUUGCUCUUACGGGUGGCGAGUGGCGGACGGGUGAGGAAUACAUCGGAAUCUACUUUUUCGUGGGGGAUAACGUAGGGAAACUUACGCUAAUACCGCAUACGACCUACGGGUGAAAGCAGGGGUUCUUCGGACCUUGCGCGAUUGAAUGGGCCGAUGUCGGAUUAGCUAGUUGGCGGGGUAAAGGCCCACCAAGGCGACGAUCCGUAGCUGGUCUGAGAGGAUGAUCAGCCACACUGGAACUGAGACACGGUCCAGACUCCUACGGGAGGCAGCAGUGGGGAAUAUUGGACAAUGGGCGCAAGCCUGAUCCAGCCAUACCGCGUGGGUGAAGAAGGCCUUCGGGUUGUAAAGCCCUUUUGUUGGGAAAGAAAAGCAGCAGGUUAAUACCCCGCUGUUCUGACGGUACCCAAAGAAUAAGCACCGGCUAACUUCGUG
This 492-nucleotide ribosomal RNA is filed under the name uncultured bacterium. Its description in RNAcentral is "partial 16S ribosomal RNA". It matches the Rfam family "Bacterial small subunit ribosomal RNA", at positions 29 to 507 of the family's 1533-position model. The record is from RNAcentral.